CCAACCUCUGGGCUCCCCGCUCUGCGCGUGCCCGGGGCCGAGCAGCCCUCGGAGAGCGUGCGCUUAAAGGCCGAGCCCCCUCGCCCGCCCGCGGGAGGAUUAGGAGCCCCAAGUGACGCGGCGGGAGGCAACACGAAGACAACCAGAGGCCGUUCUCGGGCAGGGCACAAGUGAGUUUCGGAGGUAAAGAAGACAAAAGACAGACAGACACACUCCCAAGGGAAGAGGAGCAGAAGGAGGAGGAAAAAGCAAAGUAUGGAAAAGUCAAGUUUUCCAGACCCUUCAUAGACGGCGUGUGAUAAGGUUCUUGACUGAACAACCUGGAGAAUAGCUGCCCAUGCUUUGGCAGAGAAAACGGUCCCACCCACACGACCCUCCAAAGAAGAGUUGUCCCUGAAUGGACCUGGUCACUGAGAGGGGCAGCCCCUCAGGCCCAGCUCUCCUCAUGCUCCCAUGAGAGCAUACCUCCUGGGUUCACUUUUCACCGGCUGAUUGCUCACGCCCAGUGACCCAACAUAUGCCAAAUAAAAGGGUCCCCAAGUGGGCAGGACCACUGGGCCUGGUGGAAUACUGCUUGGGUUUCUCCCAAGGCUGGGAAGGCCUUCCACCUCCUCAUCUGGGGUCCUAGGCACCUAGGGCCUGGAGUAGUUUCGUACUGUUUCCUUCCUUGGCCCUCCCAGAGCACAUGGGGCUUGGAACUGAGGUCAAUAAGAGCAUCUAGGGUCCGCAGAGACAGUAGACCUGACAGGAGACGCCAAAGAAUCUAGAAGCUACUUUUAAGCUGUGCAUGAUCAACCUCUGCAAACCUGCCUCUGGCUUGCACAGCUUCUGAAGAGCGGAGGCAGCUCGGCCACAUACUGGAGUGGCCAUACCCCGUUCCCUUCCAUUUCCCUCAAAGGCUCUCCUGCUUGAGAGCUGAAGCUUGGCCAGCAGAGGAGAAAAAGGUUUACUCAAGGCCUGGAAUCCACAAAGGUGUUUUGGGAGAAUGACCUGAGGCCAUGUAUCUGGACGUGGCUACAGUUACGCUUCAGGUGUGCACGUGCACUCGUGUGUACAUACACGUACACACAAAUAAUGACACGUAGAGGAAAUAAAGACGUGCGGAGGAAAAUGACAGCAAACAGAAGAACUUCGGCUGUGACUUUGUAGACCACACUUUGCAAAGCACAAUGAAAAUAAUUGGCCCAUCCAGGCCUUGUAAUCUUCUGCAGGGUGAUGGAUGGCCUUUCCUCCAUAAGCAUGUUGGGUACCACACCGUGGUACAGGACCCAGCAAAGCAGCUAUCAGGGUGAGGGUAAAAAGAAACAGAAUUUCUAUUGAGACUUAACUCUUUAGCUAAAAUAAAAACUGAACUCUUCUAAUGGCAUUAAAAAAAAAAACUUAGACUUGCUUUAUUUUAUGUAUGUAGCUGUUUUUCCUGCAUGUAUGUGUGCCAUGGG
Molecule: long non-coding RNA, 1439 nt
Organism: Meriones unguiculatus (Mongolian gerbil)
Lineage: Eukaryota; Metazoa; Chordata; Mammalia; Rodentia; Muridae
Exons: 4
Source: RefSeq, a predicted model, not a curated record